AUUGAACGCUAGCGGGAUGCCUUACACAUGCAAGUCGAACGGCAGCACGGACUUCGGUCUGGUGGCGAGUGGCGAACGGGUGAGUAAUGUAUCGGAACGUGCCCAGUAGCGGGGGAUAACUACUCGAAAGAGUAGCUAAUACCGCAUACGCCCUACGGGGGAAAGGGGGGGAUCGCAAGACCUCUCCCUAUUGGAGCGGCCGAUAUCGGAUUAGCUAGUUGGUGGGGUAAAGGCCCACCAAGGCGACGAUCCGUAGCUGGUUUGAGAGGACGACCAGCCACACUGGGACUGAGACACGGCCCAGACUCCGCCGGGAGGCAGCAGUGGGGAAUUUUGGACAAUGGGGGCAACCCUGAUCCAGCCAUCCCGCGUGUGCGAUGAAGGCCUUCGGGUUGUAAAGCACUUUUGGCGGGAAAGAAAUCGCAUGGGUUAAUACCCUGUGUGGAUGACGGUACCUGCAGAAUAAGCACCGGCUAACUACGUGCCAGCCGCCGCAGUAA
RNAcentral lists this ribosomal RNA (500 nucleotides) under uncultured bacterium. RNAcentral's name for it is "partial 16S ribosomal RNA". It matches the Rfam family "Bacterial small subunit ribosomal RNA", at positions 30 to 523 of the family's 1533-position model. The record is from RNAcentral.